Small nucleolar RNA from Castor canadensis (American beaver), 126 nucleotides. Its record names the gene SNORA72. It matches the Rfam family "Small nucleolar RNA SNORA72". Rfam says of the family: U72 is a member of the H/ACA class of snoRNAs. The snoRNA gene is located in intron 4 of the ribosomal L30 protein gene in human, mouse and chicken. NCBI's taxonomy places the organism in Eukaryota, Metazoa, Chordata, Mammalia, Rodentia, Castoridae. The record is from Ensembl.
GUGGGACACAAAACCAUUGCACAAAAUCAGUGUGUUUAUAAUAAACAUUCCCUAUGUUAAGACCAUGCAUGUGUUCCCAGUCUCCAUACAUUCCCCAGGCCUGGUUUUAUAGAUAUGGUGAUCAAU